ACGCCUGGGGGGGAAACCCACGACCAGUGCAACAGAGAGCAAACCGCCGAUGGCCCACGUAAGUGGGAUCAGGUAAGGGUGAAAGGGUGCGGUAAGAGCGCACCGCGCGGCUGGUAACAGUCCGUGGCACGGUAAACUCCACCCGGAGCAAGGCCAAAUAGGGGUUCAUAAGGUACGGCCCGUACUGAACCCGGGUAGGCUGCUUGAGCCAGUGAGCGAUUGCUGGCCUAGAUGAAUGACUGUCCACGACAGAACCCGGCUUAUCGGUCAGUUUCACCU
This 279-nucleotide RNase P RNA is filed under the name Salmonella enterica. Its description in RNAcentral is "partial RNase P RNA component class A". It matches the Rfam family "Bacterial RNase P class A", at positions 81 to 367 of the family's 367-position model. From Rfam's summary of the family: Ribonuclease P (RNase P) is a ubiquitous endoribonuclease, found in archaea, bacteria and eukarya as well as chloroplasts and mitochondria. Its best characterised activity is the generation of mature 5'-ends of tRNAs by cleaving the 5'-leader elements of precursor-tRNAs. The record is from RNAcentral. Lineage: Bacteria; Pseudomonadati; Pseudomonadota; Gammaproteobacteria; Enterobacterales; Enterobacteriaceae.